This 468-nucleotide ribosomal RNA is filed under the name uncultured bacterium. Its description in RNAcentral is "partial 16S ribosomal RNA". It matches the Rfam family "Bacterial small subunit ribosomal RNA", at positions 28 to 507 of the family's 1533-position model. The record is from RNAcentral.
GACGAACGCUGGCGGCGUGCUUAACACAUGCAAGUCGAACGGAAAGGCCCUGCUUUUGUGGGGUGCUCGAGUGGCGAACGGGUGAGUAACACGUGAGUAACCUGCCCUUGACUUUGGGAUAACUUCAGGAAACUGGGGCUAAUACCGGAUAGGAGCUCCUGCUGCAUGGUGGUGGUUGGAAAGUUUCGGCGGUUGGGGAUGGACUCGCGGCUUAUCAGCUUGUUGGUGGGGUAGUGGCUUACCAAGGCUUUGACGGGUAGCCGGCCUGAGAGGGUGACCGGCCACAUUAGGACUGAGAUACGGCCCAGACUCCUACGGGAGGCAGCAGUGGGGAAUAUUGCACAAUGGGCGGAAGCCUGAUGCAGCAACGCCGCGUGCGGGAUGACGGCCUUCGGGUUGUAAACCGCUUUCGACUGUGACGAAGCGUGAGUGACGGUAAUGGGUAAAGAAGCACCGGCUAACUACGUG